Molecule: ribosomal RNA, 222 nt
Filed under: Triticum aestivum (bread wheat)
Lineage: Eukaryota; Viridiplantae; Streptophyta; Magnoliopsida; Poales; Poaceae
Description: partial small subunit ribosomal RNA
Source: RNAcentral
AUGAAACAUAUCAUAUUGUUUACAAGCUUCUUAGCUACUGCUAGUGUUGAAAGGGUGUUCUCUUCAAUGAGCCAUGUGAAGAAUAAGCUAAGGAACAAAAUGGGUGAUGAAUAUUUGAACAAUUGUUUGGUUACAUUUGUUGAGAGAGAAUUUUUCAAUCAAGUGAAGGAUGAAGAUGUCAUCAAUCUCUUCCAAAAAGGCGACCGCAAAGUUAUAUUGUAA